UCUAAGUAAAAUCUUAAAAUAAUUAAUUAAAUAAAACAAUUUAACAAUAAUUUAUAUUAACUAAUAAAAUAUAAGUACUAUACAGGAAUAAUUAAAUUCAAUAAAGUAGUGGUAGUAUCACGUACCUUGUGCAUUAUGGUUUUACAAGCUAAAAAUUAAACAUAUAAUCCCGAAUUCUGCGCGAGCUGCCAUAUUAUUGCUAAGAGCCCACUAUUAGUUGUGGCACCAACUUUAGAAAAUAAUAUGACAGAGGCUACAUACCAAGCGCGCCAGAAAAUUGCUGGUUCUCUAUAAAAGUUAUUAAUUAAAACAUGUAAUAUAUAUUGCAGUGUAAGAUUUCAGAGGAUAAGCCCUGUAAUCAAAAGCAAUUACAAUUUUUAAAAUAAUAAUGUAGGCUUAAAAACAGCCAUAAAAAAUACUUUAUCGUAAAGUAUAAAAAAUUCAUGUCUAACUAUGCAUCAUAAAAUAGAGAUUUAGGUUAAAUACUUCAACUUAAAAUUUUAUGUAAAAAUAAGUAUUAGAAAAUUUAUUAUGUAAUAACUAUCACAAAAACAAAAUUAUAACAAAAAAAAACUUAUAAAGGAACUCGGCAAACUCUUAUUUCGACUGUUUAACAAAAACAUUGCCUCUUGUAAAUAAAUUAAGAGGUAAUUCCUG
This 657-nucleotide ribosomal RNA is filed under the name Gatesona chaetophora. RNAcentral's name for it is "partial 16S ribosomal RNA". The record is from RNAcentral. Lineage: Eukaryota; Metazoa; Annelida; Clitellata; Crassiclitellata; Lumbricidae.